This 67-nucleotide transfer RNA is filed under the name Cherax sp. YPL-2015. Its description in RNAcentral is "tRNA-Glu". Lineage: Eukaryota; Metazoa; Arthropoda; Malacostraca; Decapoda; Parastacidae. The record is from RNAcentral.
UUUUUUAUAGUGUAUGAAACAUAUUACAUUUUCGAUGUAAAGCUGAAGGCCUUCUCUUCUAAAAAUA